CUCCCUCCAGUUCGCGGUCAAGGUUGACGCCUUGGACACGGGGGCAGGGGCUGUCCUCUCGCAGCGGGACCCCACGACCCAGAAACUUCACCCCUGUGCCUUUUUUUUCCCGUCGUCUGUCCCCUGCCGAGAGGAACUACGAUGUCGGCAACCGAGAGCUACUGGCCAUUGUAUGGGCCUUGAAAGAAUAGAGGAACUGGCUGGAGGGGACUGAACUACCAUUCAUCAUUUGGACUGACCACAAGAAUCUCUUACCUCCGUUCCGCCAAAUGCCUUAACCCUCGACAAGGUCGCUGGGCUCUCUUCUUGAGCAGGUUUAAUUUCAGUCUCUUGUUCCAUCCUGGCUCCAAAAACAGCAAACCAGAUGCCCUGUCUCGACUUUAGUCACCCCCCUCCAGCCCUGACGAACCAGAACCCAUCCUUCCUUCCUCAUGCCACAGCCACUUGGCAGAUCGAACAGGUGGUUCAGGAGGCCCAAAAGACUCACCCGGAUCCCAAGACCGGGCCUCCAAACCGCCUGUUCGUACCCAAUUCCGCACGCUCUGACGUUCUUCAGUGGGGUCACAACUCCAAACUCACCUGUCAUCCUGGCAUCACCCGCACCAUUCAGUUCAUCCGGCAGCAUUUGUGGUGACUCAGCCUUGUUCAAGACACAGGGGAGUUCGUCCAAGCCCCUGUGCCCGACGGAAGUCUUCACACCUGCCCCCAGCUGGGAUGCUGCGUCCAUUGCCUAUCCCUAGCCGCCCUUGGUCCCAUAUCGCUCUGGACUUUGUUACCGGUCUACCUCCUUCUGAAGGUAACUCUAUCAUUCUCACUAUUGUCGAUCGCGUUUCCAAAUCCUUCCAUUACGUACCCCUCCCCAAACUACCAUCUGCCUUCGAUACUGCUAACCUCCUUGUCCAGCAUGUCUUUAGACUCCACGGUAUUCCCAUCAAUGUUGUCUCUGACCGAGAUCCUCAGUUCUCAUCCCUGGUAUGCGGGUGCAGCAUCCAGCUUGUCGUCAGGAUAUCAUCCGCAGACCAAUGGCCAGACAGAGCGGGCAAACCAAUCCCUUGAAUCUGCCCUCCGUUGUGUUGCCACACGCAACCCCUCCUGUAGCUCAUUCCUCCCAUGGAUUGAGUACGCCCACAACUCCCUCACCAGUUCCGCUACCGGUAUGUCCCCAUUCAUGGCUUGCUAUGGUUACCGACCCCCAUUAUUCAAAGAACAGGAGGAGGCAGUGGCAGUCCCCGCCGUCAAGGAUCAUCUCCGGAGAAUCCAGGCAGUGUGGAAAGACGUCCGAGCGGCGUUGACCCGGUCCGCCACAUGCAAUAAACAGCUCGGGGACCGUCAUCGCUCCCCGACGCCCGAAUACAAGGUGGGCCAAUCUGUCUGGCUUUCUUCUCAUGACCUCCCGCUUCAGACAGAGUCUCGGAGACUCACUCUGCGUUUCAUUGGUCCCUUCCCCAUUACCAAGAUCAUCAAUCCCACUUCCGUCCAAUUGAAGCUUCCACAGUCUCUGAAAAUUCAUCCCACAUUCCAUGUCUCUUUGCUGGAUCCUGUCUCCACCUGCACCCUAAGCCCUCCGGCUGAAACCUACCCCCACCCGGGUUAUUGACAACCAUCCGGCCUUCACGGUGUCACGCAUCCUCAAUGUGAGGCCUAGUGGGAGGGGGUUCCAGUACCUUGUCGACUGGGAAGGGUACGGGCUGCAGGAGCGUUCUUGGAUUUCACGGAAGCUCAUCCUCGAUCCUACUCUUUUGGACGACUUCUAUGUGGCUCACCCGGGGAAGCCUGGCAGGAUGCCGGGAGGCAUCCGUUGAGAGGGGGUUACUGUAAUAUACGCCCUGCAGUUCCAUUAUUGGAGCCGGGAGGGCGUUUUGUGUCCUCGCUCUCCCCCCUUCCCUCUCUGUUUUCAGCACCUGUCUUCAAUCAGCCUCAUCACCACCGGUGUAUGUAAGCCUGCCUGUUCCCGGUAAUCCUCUCCUAAGUAUUGCUGCCUCUCCUAGCGUGCUCCCCUGUUCCUGACCCACGUCAUUCCUGCCACCAAGCCAGCCGCCUGUUCUGUCCACUGCCUGCCACCUGUCCACGCUGCCACCUGCCAACACAUCCAGGACCACCUCCAUAACCUUUCCUCAAUAAACUGUUCAUCAUUUUA
Molecule: long non-coding RNA, 2137 nt
Organism: Phyllopteryx taeniolatus (common seadragon)
Lineage: Eukaryota; Metazoa; Chordata; Actinopteri; Syngnathiformes; Syngnathidae
Exons: 2
Source: RefSeq, a predicted model, not a curated record